AGCGCCAGCCACUCCUCGCAAGCGUCUUCUGUCUCACAUGCUUUUUAAUCUUUCUCCUCCAGUGCUUCCUAGAUCUAAGAUUCACUUUAGAGGCGCACACUGGCCGCGCGCACGCACACGCGCACACACACUCACUCUCUCACACACACACACCACUUGGCUACAUCGCUAAACAACAAACAGCAAACAACUCCCCCUCCGAUAACUCCUACCGCACUAACUCCCACCUUACUAACUCUCAUCCUGCUUUCUCCCUCCAGAUUGCGCCCAGGACCCCUAGACUCUCCACGGUGGCCCACCCUGUCUGCAGCGCACCGGGGGACUAUGCUCGGAGUUCAGCUGCCCACAUCUUGUACUAGAAAAAAAUGAAUAUUGACAACAAGGGCUCUGCAUCUGCACAAGAAAGAAAGUACCACUUAACAACAACAAAAUAUCCUGGCCCGGCGAUGGUGCAGUCGGCGGUGCUCGCUGCUCUAGGUUGUUAGCGGCAGAGUUCCGGACCUAGUAAUCCGCCAGCAGAGGAAGGGGGCCGCGGAAUUAAAACGAACAAAAGCUAGAGCGCCAUGCCAAACAUCCCCAACGCGACCCAGUUAGGCAGGAGCCAAGAGGAGUGGUGGGGAAAUAAACGAGAAGUAAGUUUAAAAUAAAAAGAUCUGAGGCUGUACCGU
This 668-nucleotide long non-coding RNA is filed under the name Rattus norvegicus (Norway rat). RNAcentral's name for it is "long non-coding RNA NONRATT019583". The record is from RNAcentral. Lineage: Eukaryota; Metazoa; Chordata; Mammalia; Rodentia; Muridae.